This is a long non-coding RNA of Mustela lutreola (European mink), 844 nucleotides long. RefSeq lists it as uncharacterized. Lineage: Eukaryota; Metazoa; Chordata; Mammalia; Carnivora; Mustelidae. The record is from RefSeq and is a predicted model, not a curated record. The transcript has 4 exons.
ACAGAGAGCAGGAGGUCUCACCCACUGUGGAUAUUUUCUGUCAGAGAAGCCCCAGAGGAAUAGGAAGAAAAGGGGAGGUCAGACUGAGACCAGGGUUGGGAUAAGAGGCUGAAGACAUUUCUGUGGUCACACAGAGACAGCAGGACCAAGAAGGGACCUUAGCUGACAUGCACAUGACAAAUGGGGUGGUUCUCUUCCCUCGGCUUGGCAAAACACAGGCUUUGCUCUAAAACACCACGCCCAUCCCUAUAACUUCUCAUCCAAACUCAGCUACUGGGUGAAGGGGAGCGCCAUCAAUAAUAGGUAGAACUGAGGAGUAAACUGGAACUGUACUGGGCAAACCAUGACAUGUGUCACCUUGCCAACUGAUAUAAGAAGAUCAACACAUUAUAGAUGAGAAUGCUGAGUCUUGGAGAAGAUAAAUUAUGGAUGCAAGCUUACCCAGCCAAGAUGGAGAGCACCUGAACACAGAGUCUGUCCUUGGUGUCAGAGGCUGCCUCUCCCCAGCUUCCGUAAGCCUAUGCUACACUUUUCCAGGAAUCUGUUCACACCACAGGCACUGUUUGAGCACUAACUGUAGUAAAGCACUCUGCGGGAUGAUCAGUCACAAAAUAGGAAACAACCACAAGGAGACGGCUCCCAAACUUACCAGUGUUGACCAUGUGUGGACUUUGAACUAGGUAUUCUCCCUUCUUUCGCACAAAACUAUGAGUUUUGGCGCCCCCUGUAGGCAUGGAUGACAGUCAUCGCCCAUCAGCCUAGCACUAGAGAACCCACUGGUGUCGCAGCUUCACUCCCCUCUGCCCUUCCCCUCCUUGCCAAGGAAGAAGGAGCGGAUGGCAUU